CCAGUACUAAAAAGAGAGAGGGAAAUGGGGCUUGGCCGUUUUAGAAGCAUAAACAAGCAUGAAUGUUUUGCAUGUAUUUCUAUUUGAAGUCUCUCAAUAUAAAGCGCCAUCUCUAUCAGCCCAAAAGAUCGCUUCAAAGUGCCAUAUCUUAUUUGAGGUGAGCUUGAAACAGGACCCUGCGGAAUGUGUCGCAGGACAGAAUGAUGAUAAAUUCAUGUGAAGAAAAGCUACGGAAGGAAAGCGGAUCAGAAUUGGUAAGCGAUCACGCAACAAAGAAAAACCGAGGUCAACCACCAUAAAAGGCAACAAGGCGUACCAUUAGGAUCUUCGGGUUUGCUUGAACAAAACUGAGCAAGAAAGAAAACUGACACCCCCAAUCACUCAAAACAACGUGAUCUUGCUGGAUCAAGAAGCCUUUUUUCACCAAGCUAAGGAAUGAAAACCUCAGGUUGGAUCAAGGGAAGAUUCUCUAUAAAGAGCAAAGUAGAGGAGGAAAUUGCAGUCUCAGGCUGGAAGACCUUCCAUAAUGGGAUUUUUAUUAUUUUAAUAAUGUUAUUUUAUAUUGUUUUAUAUAAAUAUAUUAGACUUGGUUGUUGCGAGUGCUUUGUGAGGAAAAACAAAAACUAGUGCUACACAUUACUUCAAAUAGGACACUGUAAAAAUAAACCAUACCUUCCUGUAUGCUGGUUGAUAGGCUUUGGUGCAAUCCUUUUUCUGUUCUGCUUUCCCUAUCUCUCUUGGUAGUUAUAAUCUUCAACUAACCACAAGACAGUUUCUCUUUGAAAAACUAUGCAGAUUGGUGUAGAUUUACAGCAUUUUGCGAGCCCAAUUCCCUCUUGUUUGUAUACUUCAAUCUUCAGUUGAGGCCAAUUUGAAGGAAGAAAUUGGGGAGAGAUGAAGAUAGUUGAAGCAACCAUGAAACCUUGGUUGGGAAGGAAGUACAUUACCUUUCAAGUUUGACAGGAGACAAUCCUUGGAAUAUUCGCUUUAUCUCUAAUCUACUUGCCCUUCAUUUGGCAUAGCUUUAAAUACAAGACAAACCAAA
This 1045-nucleotide long non-coding RNA is filed under the name Prunus persica (peach). RNAcentral describes it as "long non-coding RNA (PPER_LNC005756)". Lineage: Eukaryota; Viridiplantae; Streptophyta; Magnoliopsida; Rosales; Rosaceae. The record is from RNAcentral.